Molecule: long non-coding RNA, 991 nt
Filed under: Setaria viridis
Lineage: Eukaryota; Viridiplantae; Streptophyta; Magnoliopsida; Poales; Poaceae
Description: long non-coding RNA (SVIR_LNC011197)
Source: RNAcentral
GAGAAAAUAAGAUUAAGGGUCUAUUUGGUAGAGCUCCAUCUAGUUCUGAUUCUUUAUGGUAGCUGAUUCUAUGAGAGAAUGAUUCUAUGACUGGAAGUGAUUCUCUUUGAUUCUCUAGCAUAAACUCUUAAAAUCAUGAUGGAGAAUCACUUCACAUAAUCAGGAGAAGCUACUAUUUUUCAGCGCCCAGCCUCUUAGUUCAUUUCAGAGAAUCACUCCACAGAAUCAGCAGAGGGUCACUUUUCUCUGAAAAACUGUUUGGCAGAGCUCCUGCUGAAUUCAACGGAGAAUCACCCUAAUAGCAGAGUUGGUUGGCUUGAUAUCCCAAUCACAUAUACUUAAUGAUGGUACCUUAAUUGCUACGAGUAUACUGGCCUGUUGCGUCAUUGGUUUAUUCAUAAUCUCUUGGUCAAAUUUCCAUACUCUCUUGGUCAUAUUGAUAUCGGACGUUAAUGGUGGAGUACACUAGAAAGAGAAGCGAUCGAGUUGGUUCGUCGGGCCAAAAGGAGUUCUAGCUAGCUCUAGAGUUAUUGGUAUGGUGCAGACCUCCACCUCUGAUAAGCUACAGGAGUCAAGAGAUAGAAUGGCAUAUCUUGUCCUUCUUCUCUCGUUUCUAUUUUGAUGCCUGAUCAACCUCAGCUUCUUUGGUCAGUUCAUCAUGUUCUGUUAUUUUGGACAUCCGUUGUUUAUGGCACGUGGCUCGGCAAUCAGAAAGUGGGUGUGGCUUUGUAUGAGCUGCUCGAUCUCUAAGGAGGGGUGCGAAUUGGCGUGCUUGGGUCCGAAGAGGGUUGGUAAAGAUCUUUAGAGGCACUAAUUCAUUUUUUUUAAAAAAAAAGAGUUCUUACUAGAUCAUUUUAGUUGUCUGAAAUGUCAGAUUUUACUGAUCAGUGAGUACUCCUGCUUCUUAUCCAUUUUUUUUGUAGGCAGAAGGGGUUAAGUGAUGCGCAGAUUUCAAUGGCGCACACAUGGGGUUUUGAUCGGCUGUUGGCUG